CGAAUUCAGAUAAACUCCGAAUGCCAUGUACUUAUACUCGGGAGUCAGACUGCGAGUGAUAAGAUCCGUAGUCGAAAGGGAAACAGCCCAGACCACCAGUUAAGGUCCCCAAAUAUAUGUUAAGUGGAAAAGGAUGUGGGGUUGCUUAGACAACCAGGAUGUUGGCUUAGAAGCAGCCACCAUUGAAAGAGUGCGUAAUAGCUCACUGGUCGAGUGACCCCGCGCCGAAAAUGUACCGGGGCUAAACAUAUUACCGAAACUGUGGAUGAACCUCUUUAGAGGUUCGUGGUAGGAGAGCGUUCUAAGGGCGGUGAAGUCAGACCGGAAGGACUGGUGGAGCGCUUAGAAGUGAGAAUGCCGGUAUGAGUAGCGAAAGAAGGGUGAGAAUCCCUUCCACCGAAUAUCUAAGGUUUCCUGAGGAAGGCUCGUCCGCUCAGGGUUAGUCGGGACCUAAGCCGAGGCCGAUAGGCGUAGGCGAUGGACAACAGGUAGAGAUUCCUGUACCAGUGCUAAUUGUUUAACCGAUG
Molecule: ribosomal RNA, 527 nt
Filed under: Listeria monocytogenes
Lineage: Bacteria; Bacillati; Bacillota; Bacilli; Caryophanales; Listeriaceae
Description: partial 23S ribosomal RNA
Rfam family: Bacterial large subunit ribosomal RNA
Source: RNAcentral